AAAUGUGUACACAUUGGAACCAACUCAAACAGUUGAAUGACGGUAUGCAAUUUUCAUCCGAAACCAAUUCGUACAUUUUAUUUGACCCUGGAAACCAUUCCUUAUUUCCGGUUUUUUAUAGGUUGAUUGAAAUGACACAAUUUUGGUUGAACUUCAGGUGUUGUGUGAAGAGGAUGGUUAAUUUUAGCAUUAUAUAAACUCGAAAGAUCUCCCGCCCUAAAUGAAGCCAAAAAGAUUGAACUUUGUGUAUGCACGGAUUAAGGGUACGCAUCAAGAGUGUCUUUUGUGGUUUCAAAUUCCAAAGCAAACUCCCUGUCCCACGCUGUUUAUAUGAAACUUUUUUCGGUCGGUCCCUUAUCGUUAUCAGAAGUUUAUAGAAUACUUUUUAUACAAAUUUAAGUAAACUAAGCAUAUAAUAUGAUUAACUCCAGAGAGCAACUCUGGCAGCUAGAACUAUUUUAAAUCAAUCAUAAUAAAUGAAAUAUUGUUACGGAAACACGUAUUGACUAGUGAAAAAAUUCGACUCUAGUAAUGGAGAUCUGCUGCUCACAAAUAUAUACAUAAUUUUUUUUUUUAGUUUACUGAUGCCACUUAUUCAUAAAUAUUAUUUAAACCGCCGUUUAAGUACAACCCCCACAACACAAAAAUAUUCACCGGUCGGCCGUAAUGUGUAACAAUAAGUUCAGGAAGUUUUAGAAGUUUUAUCGAUUUCUGGAAAACCCGAACAAUCGGUUUAUUGUUUUUUUUUAUCCGUAAAAACUGCUGUUUAUUUAACAGUGGUUUCGAGUUCAUUAUUUAUUUCACAUGCAAAACUAUGAUACUGAUAUAUAUUUCUGUUUCACAUCUGUUC
This is a non-coding RNA of Cinara cedri, 850 nucleotides long. NCBI's taxonomy places the organism in Eukaryota, Metazoa, Arthropoda, Insecta, Hemiptera, Aphididae. The record is from the annotation of a GenBank genome assembly.